This 659-nucleotide ribosomal RNA is filed under the name Levilactobacillus brevis. Its description in RNAcentral is "bacterial SSU rRNA". It matches the Rfam family "Bacterial small subunit ribosomal RNA", at positions 45 to 669 of the family's 1533-position model. The record is from RNAcentral. Lineage: Bacteria; Bacillati; Bacillota; Bacilli; Lactobacillales; Lactobacillaceae.
UGCCUAAUACAUGCAAGUCGAACGAGCUUCCGUUGAAUGACGUGCUUGCACUGAUUUCAACAAUGAAGCGAGUGGCGAACUGGUGAGUAACACGUGGGAAAUCUGCCCAGAAGCAGGGGAUAACACUUGGAAACAGGUGCUAAUACCGUAUAACAACAAAAUCCGCAUGGAUUUUGUUUGAAAGGUGGCUUCGGCUAUCACUUCUGGAUGAUCCCGCGGCGUAUUAGUUAGUUGGUGAGGUAAAGGCCCACCAAGACGAUGAUACGUAGCCGACCUGAGAGGGUAAUCGGCCACAUUGGGACUGAGACACGGCCCAAACUCCUACGGGAGGCAGCAGUAGGGAAUCUUCCACAAUGGACGAAAGUCUGAUGGAGCAAUGCCGCGUGAGUGAAGAAGGGUUUCGGCUCGUAAAACUCUGUUGUUAAAGAAGAACACCUUUGAGAGUAACUGUUCAAGGGUUGACGGUAUUUAACCAGAAAGCCACGGCUAACUACGUGCCAGCAGCCGCGGUAAUACGUAGGUGGCAAGCGUUGUCCGGAUUUAUUGGGCGUAAAGCGAGCGCAGGCGGUUUUUUAAGUCUGAUGUGAAAGCCUUCGGCUUAACCGGAGAAGUGCAUCGGAAACUGGGAGACUUGAGUGCAGAAGAGGACAGUGGAACUC